RNAcentral lists this ribosomal RNA (484 nucleotides) under uncultured bacterium. Its description in RNAcentral is "partial 16S ribosomal RNA". It matches the Rfam family "Bacterial small subunit ribosomal RNA", at positions 29 to 523 of the family's 1533-position model. The record is from RNAcentral.
AGUGAACGCUGGCGGCGUGCUUAACACAUGCAAGUCGAACGAGAACGGAUUAUAGCUUGCUAUAACUGUCAGCUAAGUGGCGCACGGGUGAGUAAUGUAUAGGUAAUAUGCCUCUUACUAAGGGAUAACAAAUGGAAACGUUUGCUAAUACCUUAUACUCCUUAUUAACAUAAGUUAAUAAGGGAAAGAUUUAUUGGUAAGAGAUUAGCCUGUAUUGUAUCAGUUAGUUGGUGGGGUAAUGGCUUACCAAGACUAUGACACAUAACUGGUUUGAGAGAAUGAUCAGGCACACUGGACCUGCGCCACGGUCCAGACUCAUCCGGGAGGCAGCAGUGGACAAUAUUGCGCAAUGGACGAAAGUCUGAUGCAGGAACGACGCGUGGAGGAUCACACAUUUCAGUGCGUAAACUCCUCUUAUAUGAGAAGAUAAUGACGGUAUUAUAUGAAUAAGCACCGGCCAACUCCGUGCCAGCAGCCGCCGUAA